This 311-nucleotide ribosomal RNA is filed under the name uncultured bacterium. RNAcentral's name for it is "bacterial SSU rRNA". It matches the Rfam family "Bacterial small subunit ribosomal RNA", at positions 493 to 793 of the family's 1533-position model. The record is from RNAcentral.
CCGGCUAACUCCGUGCCAGCAGCCGCGGUAAUACGGAGGGGUGCGAGCGUUAAUCGGAAUUACUGGGCGUAAAGACGCAUGCAGGCGGCCUGUUAAGUCAGAUGUGAAAGACCCGGGGCGUUAACCUCCGGAAUUGCAUUUGAAACUGGCAGGCUAGAGUCUUGUAGAGGGGGGUAGGAAGUUUCAGGUGUAGCGGUGAAAUAGCGUAGAGAUCUGAAGGAAUACCAGUGGCGAAGGCGGCCCCCCUGGACAAAGACUGACGCUCAGAUGCGAAAGCGUGGGGAGCAAACAGGAUUAGAUACCCCUGGUAG